This 253-nucleotide ribosomal RNA is filed under the name uncultured bacterium. Its description in RNAcentral is "partial 16S ribosomal RNA". It matches the Rfam family "Bacterial small subunit ribosomal RNA", at positions 524 to 776 of the family's 1533-position model. The record is from RNAcentral.
UACAGAGGGCUCAAGCGUUGUUCGGAUUCAUUGGGCGUAAAGGGUGCGUAGGCGGCGCGGUAAGUCGGGUGUGAAAUCUCGGAGCUUAACUCCGAAACUGCAUUCGAUACUGCCGUGCUUGAGGACUGGAGAGGAGACUGGAAUUUACGGUGUAGCGGUGAAAUGCGUAGAUAUCGUAAGGAAGACCAGUGGCGAAGGCGGGUCUCUGGACAGUUCCUGACGCUGAGGCGCGAAGGCCAGGGGAGCAAACGGG